UAUGCCUGCAACUACACCGAAUUAUCCAGGUAUAUGGCCAGCAUCCAGGUGGGAAUACACACGGGGAAAGAACAUAUUUUUUAGUGCAGAGUGUCAUUGAAAUAGACCAAAGAAUCAGCUGUCCUCCUUUGAUAUCAAAGAAGCUUGAGAACCAGAGAAGGAAAUGGGCUUCCCAAAUGUCACACAGCCAGCCAGAGGCAGCUUCAACAUUACAGAAUCUCGUCGGUCGAGCCUUGGUUCCGCCCUCUUGUAGCUGUAGAUUCCACAGUAAAGAAACCAGAAGAUAAACGAGCUUCUAGUGUCUGUUAGGUGGCAUUUCAGACCUCUGCUGAGGUGGAGGGGAACACAGGUGGGUACCUCUGUUAUUU
RNAcentral lists this long non-coding RNA (368 nucleotides) under Mustela putorius furo (domestic ferret). Its description in RNAcentral is "lncRNA (ENSMPUG00000029683.1)". The record is from RNAcentral. Lineage: Eukaryota; Metazoa; Chordata; Mammalia; Carnivora; Mustelidae.